AUGGAGGAGAACGAUGAGGACGAGCAGGAAGACGAGGAGGAGGUAGAGGAGGAGGAAUCGAAACUGAGCGAGUCACCUGGGAUAUUCCUGGGCGAGGAAGGUUCUGGUGGUUACGAAGGCUCUGCAGCUGAAGGUCCAUACAUGGCGGACAAGAGCAACCUCGGUGAGACUGGUUCUGGCAUGCUCUGGAAAGAAAGUGAAGAUAUGAGUGACCUGAGGAGGCUGUUCGCCAGCAGGCGUAUCAGCGAUGAGGUAAAACCCGAUGAUUACAAAGAAGACCACCUUCUGCAGCUGUAGACUGGACCACCACCCACUCCGAAGCACAUAAACAAGGCUGGCAUCUAAUUUAAUUCCCUGUCUGGGCUGAUAGUAAACUCCACCUGCUGGGAAAAAACAAAUGCCAUUUUUUUGUACUCUCUGUGUUAUUGUUAUUAAUUAUUUUCAGCAAGGCCAAAACAACGACUGUAAACAAUGUGAAAAUAAUUGUGCCAGUAUUGUGCUUUCCUAUGGAAAAAAGCUUUCAAAUGCUUUUUUAAAUAUAAAUAAAUAUAUUCUUUUAAAUCAUUGUAAUACCAGUGCAAUAAAAGCAUGCCUUUGUCCAUGCAUUGCAUUACUCCAGCCAUUUUUUUUUUUGAGCUUUAAGGAACGUGUUCCUUAGAAACACUUAUUUAAAUUAUUUGAUCCCUUUAUUCACAAAUCCUGCAACAUUUUAUGCUUAACCUGAGAAUAUUGAAAAAUAUUCCGGCUCAAGAUUUGAAUGAGAUCAUCUUUAAGACGCAAACCCCUCAGAAAUGGGUUCAGGAAGUCCUAACCAGAGUUGGAACAUAUUCGAAAUAUGUACUAUAAACACAAACGCAUUUUAACAGACUCUGUAAUUUCGAUUUGAAACAAUUUCUAUCAAUAAAGUGUUUAUUUUAUCCCUACUACUGUGUUAUCUGUUCUCAUAACUCCUUUCAUAUGUGUCAAGUUCCUCAGUAAUUUAAACUGAGGUACCUUCUAUUAUUCAAGCGUUUGAUUUUUUUAUAUGGUACUUGCAAGUAACAUCAGGAGCUAUUUCCACUAAAAAAGUACAUAUUUGCCAUCCAUAAUUAAAAAUUAAGUUUACUAUCUCAAAAUUGCAGACUUGAGAGAAAAUAAUCAAAAUGGAGAAAUAUCUUGAAACUCUAACUUUAUUCCUUUUGAGAAAAUAGCCUGAAAUUUCU
RNAcentral lists this long non-coding RNA (1202 nucleotides) under Oreochromis niloticus (Nile tilapia). RNAcentral's name for it is "lncRNA (ENSONIG00000034114.1)". Lineage: Eukaryota; Metazoa; Chordata; Actinopteri; Cichliformes; Cichlidae. The record is from RNAcentral.